UCAACAGCUCUUUUCAGAGCUACAUUAUUUUUUGUCUAAUAAUCAUU
This is a non-coding RNA of Trichomalopsis sarcophagae, 47 nucleotides long. Lineage: Eukaryota; Metazoa; Arthropoda; Insecta; Hymenoptera; Pteromalidae. The record is from Rfam.